AGUGAACGCUGGCGGUAGGCCUAACACAUGCAAGUCGAACGGCAGCACAGGAGAGCUUGCUCUCUGGGUGGCGAGUGGCGGACGGGUGAGGAAUACAUCGGAAUCUACUUUUUCGUGGGGGAUAACGUAGGGAAACUUACGCUAAUACCGCAUACGACCUACGGGUGAAAGCGGGGGAUCUUCGGACCUUGCGCGGUUGAAUGAGCCGAUGUCGGAUUAGCUAGUUGGCGGGGUAAAGGCCCACCAAGGCGACGAUCCGUAGCUGGUCUGAGGGGAUGAUCAGCCACACUGGAACUGAGACACGGUCCAGACUCCUACGGGAGGCAGCAGUGGGGAAUAUUGGACAAUGGGCGCAAGCCUGAUUCAGCCAUACCGCGUGGGUGAAGAAGGCCUUCGGGUUGUAAAGCCCUUUUGUUGGGAAAGAAAUCCAGCUGGUUAAUACCCGGUUGGGAUGACGGUACCCAAAGAAUAAGCACCGGCUAACUUCGUGCCAGCCGCCGCAGUAA
Molecule: ribosomal RNA, 506 nt
Filed under: uncultured bacterium
Lineage: Bacteria
Description: partial 16S ribosomal RNA
Rfam family: Bacterial small subunit ribosomal RNA
Source: RNAcentral